This 253-nucleotide ribosomal RNA is filed under the name uncultured bacterium. Its description in RNAcentral is "partial 16S ribosomal RNA". It matches the Rfam family "Bacterial small subunit ribosomal RNA", at positions 524 to 776 of the family's 1533-position model. The record is from RNAcentral.
UACGUAGGGUGCGAGCGUUAAUCGGAAUUACUGGGCGUAAAGCGUGCGCAGGCGGUUCGUUAUGUCCGAUGUGAAAGCCCCGAGCUUAACUUGGGAAUGGCAUUGGAAACUGGCGAGCUGGAGUGCGGCAGAGGGGGGUGGAAUUCCACGUGUAGCAGUGAAAUGCGUAGAGAUGUGGAGGAACACCGAUGGCGAAGGCAGCCCCCUGGGCCGACACUGACGCUCAGGCACGAAAGCGUGGGGAGCAAACAGG